CGCACCCUGCGGUGCACGAAGCGGGCUGGAGAUCCCUUUGAGCCUAAACGCGUCGCCUGGGGGCGCGCUGUUCGGCGCCAGUGUGCAGGUCCGCCCGCGAGCGGAAAGCCUUCGGUGACGACGGUGCCCCCACUUGAACCUCUGGUUCAAGGGCGAUGGCCCGCUACGGCACAUGCGGGGGGCGC
This 185-nucleotide non-coding RNA is filed under the name Inmirania thermothiophila. RNAcentral describes it as "6S / SsrS RNA". It matches the Rfam family "6S / SsrS RNA". Rfam says of the family: E. coli 6S RNA was the first non coding RNA to be sequenced, but its function was unknown until recently. It consists of 184 nucleotides that fold into an extended hairpin structure with a large single-stranded internal bulge. The record is from Rfam by way of RNAcentral. Lineage: Bacteria; Pseudomonadati; Pseudomonadota; Gammaproteobacteria; Chromatiales; Ectothiorhodospiraceae.